Molecule: ribosomal RNA, 462 nt
Filed under: uncultured Desulfobulbus sp.
Lineage: Bacteria; Pseudomonadati; Thermodesulfobacteriota; Desulfobulbia; Desulfobulbales; Desulfobulbaceae
Description: bacterial SSU rRNA
Rfam family: Bacterial small subunit ribosomal RNA
Source: RNAcentral
CCCGCACAAGCGGAGGAGCAUGUGGUUUAAUUCGAUGAUACGCGAGGAACCUUACCUGGGCUCGAACGUAAGAUGACUGUAGGUGAAAGCUUACAUCUCUCGGAGCAUUUUACGGAGGUGCUGCAUGGUUGUCGUCAGCUCGUGCCGUGAGGUGUCGGGUUAAGUCCCAUAACGAGCGCAACCCCUACCUUUAGUUGCCAGCAGUUCGGCUGGGCACUCUAAAGGGACUGCCGGUGUUAAACCGGAGGAAGGUGGGGAUGACGUCAAGUCCUCAUGGCCUUUAUGACCAGGGCUACACACGUACUACAAUGGCCGAUACAAAGGGCAGCGACACUGCGAGGUGAAGCCAAUCCCGUAAAAUCGGUCUCAGUCCGGAUUGGAGUCUGCAACUCGACUCCAUGAAGUUGGGAAUCGCUAGUAAUCGUGGAUCAGCAUGCCACGGUGAAUACGUUCCCGGGCCUU